GAUCCUCUUCUCCAUGCUAAACUUUAAAAGCGGUGCACGAGAAGCCAGAUAAUUAGGUUCAUACCCCAAUUCGUUCAUGAAAAACUUCAAUGUAGUCUUUAUCUUAGCUUCUGAUGAAGCCAAACAGUAAGGAAGCUUUUGCACCAUUAGGCAGAUAUCAGAAUCAGACCAUCCAAAACUGCGAAAAAUAUCUAAUUUCCUUUCUAAUUUAGAUUCAUCAAGCAACACAAGUACUUCAACGCCAUGAAGAAACAUCCCUGAAGUGAGAGGCAUAUGAAAAUCAUUUACUAGUCGAUGUACUGCUCUCUCAAACCACUCAGGACGAUUGAGGAGAAACCUAGGAUGCCUGUGAA
Molecule: unclassified non-coding RNA, 353 nt
Filed under: Hevea brasiliensis (rubber tree)
Lineage: Eukaryota; Viridiplantae; Streptophyta; Magnoliopsida; Malpighiales; Euphorbiaceae
Source: RNAcentral